GACGAACGCUGGCGGCGUGCUUAACACAUGCAAGUCGAACGAAGUGGCGAACGGGUGAGUAACGCGUAAUCAACCUGCCCUUCAGAGGGGGACAACAGUUGGAAACGACUGCUAAUACCGCAUACUGAAGGAGGGGAUUGCGUCUGAUUAGCGAGUUGGAGGGGUAACGGCCCACCAAGGCGAUGCUGAGUAGCCGGGCUGAGGAGAAGGACGGCCACAAUGGGACUGGGACAAGGCCCAGGCUGCUAAGGGAGGGAGCAGUGGGGGAUCUUCCGCAAUGGAGGGAAGUCUGACGGAGCAACGCCGGGUGGGUGGAGACGGCCUUCGGGUUGUAAAGCUCUGUUAAUCGGGACGCGGUACCGGAAUAGAAAGCCACGGCUAACUACGUGCCAGCAGCCGCGGUAAUAC
This 408-nucleotide ribosomal RNA is filed under the name uncultured bacterium. RNAcentral describes it as "partial 16S ribosomal RNA". It matches the Rfam family "Bacterial small subunit ribosomal RNA", at positions 28 to 526 of the family's 1533-position model. The record is from RNAcentral.